GGUUGAAGCAUGACCGUAAGGACAUGUGGACAGUAUGGGAGUGAGAAUGUUGGCAUGAGUAGCGAGAUGUGGGUGAGAAUCCCACAGGCCGUAAACCCAAGGUUUCCAGGGGAAGGUUCGUCCGCCCUGGGUUAGUCGGGACCUAAGCUGAGGCCGAAAGGCGUAGGUGAUGGACAACAGGUUGAUAUUCCUGUACUACCGAUAACCGUUUGAGAGAAGGGAUGACACAGUAGGAUAAGCUAAGCACACUGUUGGUUAUGUGUGCCCAAGCAUUGAGGCAGUCAAAGUAGGCAAAUCCGCUUUGAUAAUGCUGGGAUGUGAUGGGGAGCGAAAUUUAGUAGCGAAGUAGCUGAUUUCACACUGUCAAGAAAAGUCUCUAUCGAGGUUAAAGGUACCCGUACCGCAAACCGACACAGGUGGGUGAGGAGAGUAUCCUAAGGCCAGCGAGAGAACUGUUGUUAAGGAACUCGGCAAAAUGACCCCGUAACUUAGGGAUAAGGGGUGCCACCAUCAGGUGGCCGCAGAGAAUAGGCCCAAGCGACUGUUUACCAAAAACAUAGGUUUCUGCUAAGUCGCAAGACGAUGUAUAGGAGCUGACGCCUGCCCGGUGCUGGAAGGUUAAGGGGAUCUGUUAGAGCAAUCGAAGCAGUGAACUUAAGCCCCAGUAAACGGCGGCCGUAACUAUAACGGUCCUAAG
Molecule: ribosomal RNA, 697 nt
Filed under: Clostridioides difficile
Lineage: Bacteria; Bacillati; Bacillota; Clostridia; Peptostreptococcales; Peptostreptococcaceae
Description: partial 23S ribosomal RNA
Rfam family: Bacterial large subunit ribosomal RNA
Source: RNAcentral